Molecule: transfer RNA, 74 nt
Filed under: Paenibacillus polymyxa SC2
Lineage: Bacteria; Bacillati; Bacillota; Bacilli; Caryophanales; Paenibacillaceae
Rfam family: tRNA
About the family: Transfer RNA (tRNA) molecules are approximately 80 nucleotides in length.
Source: Rfam by way of RNAcentral
GCGGUUAUGAUGGAAUUGGCAGACAUCCUUGCCUAAGAAGCAAGGUCUUGAGGGUUCAAGUCCCUCUAUCCGCA